UACGGAGGGAGCUAGCGUUGUUCGGAAUUACUGGGCGUAAAGCGCACGUAGGCGGCUUUGUAAGUUAGAGGUGAAAGCCCGGGGCUCAACCCCAGAAUUGCCUUUAAGACUGCAUCGCUUGAAUCCGGGAGAGGUGAGUGGAAUUCCGAGUGUAGAGGUGAAAUUCGUAGAUAUUCGGAAGAACACCAGUGGCGAAGGCGGCUCACUGGACCGGUAUUGACGCUGAGGUGCGAAAGCGUGGGGAGCAAACAGG
RNAcentral lists this ribosomal RNA (253 nucleotides) under uncultured bacterium. RNAcentral's name for it is "partial 16S ribosomal RNA". It matches the Rfam family "Bacterial small subunit ribosomal RNA", at positions 524 to 776 of the family's 1533-position model. The record is from RNAcentral.